CUACGGGGGGCUGCAGUCGAGAAUCUUCCGCAAUGGGCGAAAGCCUGACGGAGCAAUGCCGCGUGUAGGAUGAAGGCCUUUGGGUUGUAAACUACUGUCACCGGGGAUGAAUAUUGACAGUACCCGGAGAGGAAGCCACGGCUAACUACGUGCCAGCAGCCGCGGUAAUACGUAGGUGGCGAGCGUUGUUCGGAUUUAUUGGGCGUAAAGGGUUCGUAGGGGGUUGCUUAAGUCUGAUGUGAAAUCCCACGGCUUAACCGUGGAACUGCAUUGGAAACUGGGCGACUAGAGGAUCGGAGAGGAGAGUGGAAUUCCGGGAGUAGCGGUGGAAUGCGUAGAUAUCCGGAAGAACACCGACAGCGAAGGCAGCUCUCUGGACGAUUCCUGACCCUGAGGGACGAAAGCGUGGGUAGCAAACAGGAUUAGAUACCCCGGUAGUC
RNAcentral lists this ribosomal RNA (440 nucleotides) under uncultured bacterium. RNAcentral describes it as "partial 16S ribosomal RNA". It matches the Rfam family "Bacterial small subunit ribosomal RNA", at positions 339 to 795 of the family's 1533-position model. The record is from RNAcentral.